This 445-nucleotide ribosomal RNA is filed under the name uncultured bacterium. Its description in RNAcentral is "bacterial SSU rRNA". It matches the Rfam family "Bacterial small subunit ribosomal RNA", at positions 354 to 796 of the family's 1533-position model. The record is from RNAcentral.
GUAAGGAAUAUUGGUCAAUGGUGGGAACACUGAACCAGCCAUCCCGCGUGCAGGACGAAGGCCCUCUGGGUUGUAAACUGCUUUUACCAGGAAAGAAACGAGUGGACUUGUCCGCUCCUGACGGUACCUGGGGAAUAAGCACCGGCUAACUCCGUGCCAGCAGCCGCGGUAAUACGGAGGGUGCAAGCGUUAUCCGGAAUCACUGGGUUUAAAGGGUGCGUAGGCGGCCUGGUAAGUCAGGGGUGAAAGCUUCCCGCUCAACGGGAGAACUGCCCUUGAUACUGCCGGGCUCGAAUUGGGUUGAGGCUGGCGGAAUGUGGCAUGUAGCGGUGAAAUGCUUAGAUAUGCCAUAGAACACCGAUUGCGAAGGCAGCCAGCCAAGCCUUGAUUGACGCUGAGGCACGAAAGCGUGGGGAGCGAACAGGAUUAGAAACCCUAGUAGUCC